RNAcentral lists this long non-coding RNA (512 nucleotides) under Mytilus galloprovincialis (Mediterranean mussel). The record is from RNAcentral. Lineage: Eukaryota; Metazoa; Mollusca; Bivalvia; Mytilida; Mytilidae.
UUUUUUUUUCGCCUGCGGCGAAAAACAAUCUAUUUUUUUCGCGACAAGUCGAAAACAAUUUUUUUCUUUCAAUUUUAGCAUUACAUAUAGUGGCAGCUGAGGGUGAAACAAACAAUUUUUUUUCUCAGAAUCAAAAACAAAUUAUUUUUUUCUCCAAAAACUGGAAACAAACUUUUUUUUCCAAAAAAAACCAUAGCCCCCCCAGAAAAUCAAAUGGUUGCUGCCUAAAUUGUAUCUGAGUUCAUUUUAUUUGAUAGUUUCGUAAUGGGUUUCUAUUUAAUAUACACCUGUGUCGGAGACAUAAUUUCACAGUGUGACAUGUAUAUUAGGCUUGAAUUAUUCGAUGGUCAGGUAAAUCACAACCUGUUUAAAAGAGUUUUAAUUGACACCUGGUACACAAGAAGUUGUUACACCACAGGUGUCCACAAUCUUUCCAAAAAUACAAAAUAUAAAAUUAAUUAAUGAGUAGAAAAAAAACUUAAUUUGUUUGUUUAUUUGCCGUUAAUCAUGAU